GGUGGCUCAGUGGUAGAGUGCUUGCCUCACAUGCAUGAGACUCUGGGUUCGAUUCCUUAGCACCA
RNAcentral lists this transfer RNA (65 nucleotides) under Dipodomys ordii (Ord's kangaroo rat). It matches the Rfam family "tRNA". Rfam says of the family: Transfer RNA (tRNA) molecules are approximately 80 nucleotides in length. Lineage: Eukaryota; Metazoa; Chordata; Mammalia; Rodentia; Heteromyidae. The record is from Rfam by way of RNAcentral.